GGGAAGACACCAGUGGCGAAGGCGCUCUACUGGGCCGUAACUGACGCUGAGGGACGAAAGCUAGGGGAGCGAAAGGGAUUAGAUACCCCUGUAGUCCUAGCUGUAAACGAUGGAUACUAGGUGUUGGACGUAUCGACCCGUUCAGUACCGCAGCCAACGCGAUAAGUAUCCCGCCUGGGGAGUACGCACGCAAGUGUGAAACUCAAAGGAAUUGACGGGGGCCCGCACAAGCGGUGGAGUAUGUGGUUUAAUUCGAUGCAACGCGAAGAACCUUACCAGGGCUUGACAUCCCUCGAAUCUCUGUGAAAGCGGAGAGUGCCUUCGGGAGCGAGGAGGCAGGUGGUGCAUGGCUGUCGUCAGCUCGUGUCGUGAGAUGUUGGGUUAAGUCCCGCAACGAGCGCAACCCACGUCCUUAGUUGCCAUCAUUCAGUUGGGCACUCUGGGGAGACUGCCGGGGACAACUCGGAGGAAGGUGUGGAUGACGUCAAGUCAUCAUGCCCCUUACGUUCUGGGCUACACACGUACUACAAUGCUUCGGACAAAGGGCAGCCAACUAGCGAUAGUGAGCUAAUCCCAUAAACCGAGGCACAGUUCAGAUUGCAGGCUGCAACUCGCCUGCAUGAAGGAGGAAUCGCUAGUAAUCGCCGGUCAGCAUACGGCGGUGAAUACGUUCCCGGGCCUUGUACACACCGCCCGUCACACCAUGGGAGUUGGCCACGCCC
This 722-nucleotide ribosomal RNA is filed under the name uncultured bacterium. RNAcentral describes it as "bacterial SSU rRNA". It matches the Rfam family "Bacterial small subunit ribosomal RNA", at positions 700 to 1422 of the family's 1533-position model. The record is from RNAcentral.